AUGACGGAGGCUCUGAAUGACACAUACUUGGGAUUACCAACUACCCUAGGACUGGAUAAAACAAACAGCCUUCAAUACUUGAUUGAUCGGUUAAUUGUGAAACUUACAGGAUGGAAGGAAAAGUGUCUGUCUUCGGGAGGUAAGGAAGUGCUUAUCAAAUCUGUUGCACAAACCAUACCAACGUACGCGAUGUCGGUCUUCAAAAUUCCUAAGAAAAAUUUCAAAGGAAUUACAGAUGCGAUCUCUCGUUACUGGUGGGGCGAUGACGCAUCACAUAAGAGAAUGCACUGGUUUGCCUGGUGGAAGAUGUGC
RNAcentral lists this ribosomal RNA (312 nucleotides) under Triticum aestivum (bread wheat). RNAcentral's name for it is "partial small subunit ribosomal RNA". The record is from RNAcentral. Lineage: Eukaryota; Viridiplantae; Streptophyta; Magnoliopsida; Poales; Poaceae.